RNAcentral lists this unclassified non-coding RNA (253 nucleotides) under Chytridiomycota sp. RNAcentral's name for it is "partial contains small subunit ribosomal RNA, internal transcribed spacer 1, and 5.8S ribosomal RNA". The stretch from base 1 to 47 matches the Rfam family "Eukaryotic small subunit ribosomal RNA", at positions 1785 to 1831 of the family's 1831-position model. Lineage: Eukaryota; Fungi; Chytridiomycota. The record is from RNAcentral.
AAAGUCGUAACAAGGUAACCGUAGGUGAACCUGCGGUUGGAUCAUUAUCGCUUUCGAUUUGUGAGUGAUCACAUCGAUUCAAACAAACGUGGAUACACCCAUUCACAACACAACGUUAAACCAAACCACAACCACUAAUAACUCACGAAUCCCAAUCAACUAACACAUCCGCUCCACUAACAAGAGGAGCAGAUGAGUCGAACUAUUCAAAAAGAAAAGAACACGACUCGCAACAACGGAUAUCUUGGCUCUC